GGGAGGUCUAAGAGGUGACCAGCAGAAGAGAAGAUAGAGGAGGAAGCAAGUAUGAGGCUCCGCUGGAGGAGAAAGGAAGAUGCUAUGUGCCUGACGUUCUGGAGCACAGCCCUGACCCUGAGGAUGCGCAGAGUUAGUAGGAAAGGGAAGAUAGUGAUGGUGAAUAAAGCACCUUGCAGAUAAAGGAAGUGGGCAGCAAGGGGCGGCGCCCUGAGACUCGCAUUCUUCCCUUGGUGAAGUCAUGAAGGAUACAGAGUAGACUCGCAUUCUUCCCUCGGUGAAGUCAUGAAGGACACAGAGAAUGGUCUAUUUUCUGUCCUGCGGACAAUACAAACCGGCCCUGGGUUGGAAGGCUUCCUCUCCUGGCACUGCUCCUGUCAGACUCCGCUCCUGGAGCCCUCUCAGAAUUCAGCUUGCGUCCCCCUCCUGGGCUUCUUCCAGGCCGUGCUGCCUCCGGCUGUGGACCCUGCAUGUGCAUCCCCACUCUUGCAUUACCAGAAAGCCAUCCUGUCAUCUGCCCACAGCCUUACCAGCAUCUGUCUUCCUGUCCCAUCUGGAAAGUGGGACCAGUCACCGUUACCUCCUUGAGGAGGGAAAUCUGCUCUGAGCUACUGCAUGACUGAAA
Molecule: long non-coding RNA, 625 nt
Organism: Bos taurus (domestic cattle)
Lineage: Eukaryota; Metazoa; Chordata; Mammalia; Artiodactyla; Bovidae
Source: Ensembl